ACACGACUACAUUAGAUACCCCUGUAGUCCCAGCCCUAAACGAUGCGCGUUAGGUGUAUCGGUGACCACGAGUCACCGAGGUGCCGAAGGGAAACCGUGAAACGUGCCGCCUGGGAAGUACGGUCGCAAGGCUGAAACUUAAGGGAAUUGGCGGGGGAGCACCACAACGGGUGGAGCCUGCGGUUUAAUUGGACUCAACGCCGGGAAGCUCACCGGAUAAGACAGCGGAAUGAUUGCCGGGCUGAAGACCCUGCAUGACCAGCUG
This 265-nucleotide ribosomal RNA is filed under the name uncultured archaeon. RNAcentral describes it as "partial 16S ribosomal RNA". It matches the Rfam family "Archaeal small subunit ribosomal RNA", at positions 717 to 982 of the family's 1478-position model. The record is from RNAcentral.